RNAcentral lists this non-coding RNA (87 nucleotides) under Pseudomonas knackmussii B13. Lineage: Bacteria; Pseudomonadati; Pseudomonadota; Gammaproteobacteria; Pseudomonadales; Pseudomonadaceae. The record is from RNAcentral.
GUCUAUGGCGGACCGUGCAAGGCGGGCGCGAGCCCGACCGGAUUGGUGUACUCCGGCGAUUCCACCCUUGCACGGUCCGCCUCCAUC